UACGAAGGGGGCUAGCGUUGUUCGGAAUUACUGGGCGUAAAGCGCGCGCAGGCGGCUAUCCAAGUCAGUGGUGAAAGCCCGGAGCUCAACUCCGGAAUUGCCAUUGAAACUGUUUAGCUUGAGGACGAGAGAGGUGAGUGGAAUUCCCAGUGUAGAGGUGAAAUUCGUAGAUAUUGGGAAGAACACCGGUGGCGAAGGCGGCUCACUGGCUCGUUUCUGACGCUCAGGCGCGACAGCGUGGGGAUCAAACAGG
RNAcentral lists this ribosomal RNA (253 nucleotides) under uncultured bacterium. Its description in RNAcentral is "partial 16S ribosomal RNA". It matches the Rfam family "Bacterial small subunit ribosomal RNA", at positions 524 to 776 of the family's 1533-position model. The record is from RNAcentral.